This 490-nucleotide unclassified non-coding RNA is filed under the name Hevea brasiliensis (rubber tree). The record is from RNAcentral. Lineage: Eukaryota; Viridiplantae; Streptophyta; Magnoliopsida; Malpighiales; Euphorbiaceae.
CAACUCGCCACUGAGCCAACGUACUCCGAUCCCACGACGACGACGACGACGACCACCACCACUACUCCUCUACCUCCAAACCCAGCCACUGGCAGUCCACUCUACAAUGAGAACUGGCGCAGCCCAAUCUCAAACUCAUCUCUUGGUCAGUCUUUAAUCCCAUUGGGCCGCAACCAACUAGCCUCUCUCGUCCAUCCCAUGUCUCAAAAUCUCGAUGUCAAUUCUCUGUUGAAUGUGUUCGCCGACUGGAUGACCUCGCAGCGAUGGCCCGAUAUUAAGGAACUUUUUGAAUUCUGGAUAAGGUCGCUGGACUCGAAUGGCAAGCCUAAUAAGCCGGAUGUGGAUUUGUAUAAUCAUUAUUUGAGGGCAAAUUUGAUGAUGGGAGCUACUGCUGGGGAUUUACUGGACUUGGUUGCUCAGAUGGAGGAGUUUGCCUUGUUGCCUAACACAGCUUCCUUCAAUUUGGUGCUCAAAGCUAUGCAUAAGGCCA